GUGCCUUCCUGGAAGGAGAUCUAAUGAUCAGAAAGGUGGUUUUCCUGGGGUGAGACUUUUAUUCACUCAAAUGUGCUGACCCCUACAACUUCUCUAGAGGCACAGAAGUCAGCUGAAUAAGUUUUGGGAGAGGGAGCCUAUGUUCCCACUUUCCUG
RNAcentral lists this small nuclear RNA (156 nucleotides) under Microtus ochrogaster (prairie vole). RNAcentral describes it as "U1 spliceosomal RNA (ENSMOCG00000004285.1)". Lineage: Eukaryota; Metazoa; Chordata; Mammalia; Rodentia; Cricetidae. The record is from RNAcentral.